GCGCCCAUAGCUCAGCAGGAUAGAGCAACGGUUUCCUAAACCGCAGGUCGGGGGUUCGAAUCCCUUUGGGCGUACCA
This 77-nucleotide transfer RNA is filed under the name Bacillota bacterium. RNAcentral's name for it is "tRNA-Arg". It matches the Rfam family "tRNA". From Rfam's summary of the family: Transfer RNA (tRNA) molecules are approximately 80 nucleotides in length. Their secondary structure includes four short double-helical elements and three loops (D, anti-codon, and T loops). The record is from RNAcentral. RNAcentral also lists the same sequence under 1 other name. Lineage: Bacteria; Bacillati; Bacillota.